CCUAUGGGCGGCUGCAGUCGAGAAUCUUCGGCAAUGCGCGAAAGCGUGACCGAGCGAUGCCGCGUGCAGGAUGAAGAGCUUCGGUUUGUAAACUGCUGUCACCGGGGACGAAUUUUGACGGUACCCGGAGAGGAAGCCACGGCUAACUACGUGCCAGCAGCCGCGGUAAUAAGUAGGUGGCGAGCGUUGUUCGGAUUUAUUGGGCGUAAAGGGUCCGCAGGGGGUUUGUUAAGUCUGAUGUGAAAUCUCACGGCUCAACCGUGAAACUGCAUUGGAGACUGACAGACUAGAGCAUCGGAGAGGAGAGCGGAAUUCCAGGUGUAGCGGUGGAAUGCGUAGAUAUCUGGAAGAACACCGAAAGCGAAGGCAGCUCUCUAGACGAUUGCUGACCCUCAGGGACGAAAGCGUGGGGAGCAAACAGGAUUAGAUACCCCGGUAGUC
RNAcentral lists this ribosomal RNA (441 nucleotides) under uncultured bacterium. RNAcentral describes it as "partial 16S ribosomal RNA". It matches the Rfam family "Bacterial small subunit ribosomal RNA", at positions 338 to 795 of the family's 1533-position model. The record is from RNAcentral.